Molecule: ribosomal RNA, 465 nt
Filed under: Vreelandella stevensii
Lineage: Bacteria; Pseudomonadati; Pseudomonadota; Gammaproteobacteria; Oceanospirillales; Halomonadaceae
Description: partial 16S ribosomal RNA
Rfam family: Bacterial small subunit ribosomal RNA
Source: RNAcentral
CCUACGGGAGGCUGCAGUGGGGAAUAUUGGACAAUGGGCGAAAGCCUGAUCCAGCCAUGCCGCGUGUGUGAAGAAGGCCUUCGGGUUGUAAAGCACUUUCAGUGGGGAAGAAAGCCUUGGGGCUAAUACCCUCGAGGAAGGACAUCACCCACAGAAGAAGCACCGGCUAACUCCGUGCCAGCAGCCGCGGUAAUACGGAGGGUGCGAGCGUUAAUCGGAAUUACUGGGCGUAAAGCGCGCGUAGGCGGUCUGAUAAGCCGGUUGUGAAAGCCCCGGGCUCAACCUGGGAACGGCAUCCGGAACGGUCAGGCUAGAGUGCAGGAGAGGAAGGUAGAAUUCCCGGUGUAGCGGUGAAAUGCGUAGAGAUCGGGAGGAAUACCAGUGGCGAAGGCGGUCUUCUGGACUGACACUGACGCUGAGGUGCGAAAGCGUGGGUAGCAAACAGGAUUAGAUACCCGAGUAGUC